GUCGGCAGAUAGCUCUCUACAACUCUCACCUGGUCGCCCAUUGAAGCGAAGCAGGGCUGCGCCUGGUCAGUACCUGAAUGGGAGACCACAUGGGAAAGCCAGGUUGCUGCUGGAA
Molecule: non-coding RNA, 115 nt
Organism: Danio rerio (zebrafish)
Lineage: Eukaryota; Metazoa; Chordata; Actinopteri; Cypriniformes; Danionidae
Source: Rfam